UGUUAGCUCACUACUAACCAGCUCUGAACAUGUCUCAGGGUGGUCCUCGUGAGACUCCGAUUUCAAGGAUUACCAAUGCCCAGGUAGCUUCCACUUUUAAAGCAACCGGGAAACAGACUGAUUUUUAAUUUAACUAAUACGAUUAUCUUAACUACUGAGUUAGUAAUACUAGGAAUUUCCCACCAAAGGUUGCUUCAUGGCCUGUGUAUUAGCCAUGUUUUUAUCUGAGAGAACAGCUUAAAGGAGUUCCAGAGAGUGAGUGGCUCCGAGCACAGCUGCUGUGGUGGUCUGGCACAGGAUGGUUUUUCUGUUUGUUUGUUUGCUUGUUUGUUUGUUUGCUUGUUUGUUUUCCUGGACAGGAAACAGAAUGAAAGGGUCCAGGACAAAAUGUUCCCUUCUAAGAUGAAGACUUGCUGCCUCCAACCAGGAAUCUUUUGCUAUCUAGACCCUCUUGAAAUAGAAAAAUGAUCUGGAGAUGAAGUGGUCAACACACUAACUUAUAGGGUGCUUUAUAUUUAAAUCAUAAAGGAGUUUUGAUUUAUUCGAUGGUUGGUUGGUUGGUUGGUCAGUUGCAGUGUUGGAGAUUGGACCCAGGACAGCAUGCAAGUUGGGCAAGUUGGGCAGCCCAUGAGCUGCAUCCCCAUCAUUACCACCAUCACCUCUAAAGAAUAUUUCUUGCCUAAGUUAGCUACCGGGCUGUUUCCAAGAGCAUAAAGGAAGUACUUUGAUAGAAGUAGAGACAGGGCAGUAUGGACCCAGGCAGGUUUCAAUCCCUCACUAUUUGCACACAGUGUUAAAUAAGUUGUGGUUUUCUCAGUCUGAAAAAUUUCCUUCUUUAAAAUAGAAACUCACUAUCAGUUUUAUGAAGUAUUUGGGCGAGAAGGCUUUCAGAUUUAGGUUAUUUUUAGAUCUUGAAAUACUUAUAUAAGUAGAUAAUGAAAUAACAGCGAUGGAACCCAAGGGUAAAUAUGAAAUUCAUUCAUGUUAUACAUAUAUACAUACAUACAUACAUACAUACAUACAUACAUACUACUCACAUAGCCUGAAUGUAAUUUUAUAUAAUUUCUUAAUGAUUUUAUUCAUAAGACGUGUACAGUGUAGAAUUUUCUACCAUGAUGUAAUACAGUUGACCAACAAAAUUUGAGGACUGGGCAUGGAGUGACACAUUUCAAUUUCAACUGUUACUGCCAGCAAGAGUCAUUUGAGAGUAGUUAAUUUUUCGAUUCGCAAUUCCAUUCUUCCCCCCACCCCCACCCUUUUUUGUGUGUGGAGACUGAACCCAGCACUUUGCUCAUGCUAAGUGUUUGCCAUCAACUGAAGAACAUCCUAGCCUGCUCCUGUCAUUCCCUCCUGCCAAGCUCAUUUCCCCCAGGUAUUCUCAAACCUAGACGUGUUGUAGGUUGUCUACAGAAGCUUUUGGCAGGGAGUGGGGUGGGGAAUCAGCCUGGGUAGCCUAUGAGCAUCUUUUUUAAAACUUAAAGGAAUAAGAAAGAAUAAUAGAAAGAGGUGAUGGGGCAGAGUACAGAUGGGGGCUGCCCAGUGCCUCUGAGCACCUUUGGGCAGAGGAUGUAGAGCAAGCACUUAGCAGCUGCUGGACCAAUCUGACACUGCUGGUGCUUUCCAACACAUGAUCUGUUUUCUAGUGAUUAAUUGUUGCUAUAAGUUUUAAAAUAACAUUGGUUUCUAAACUACAGGUUAGGAAAGUGAAACAAAUGAGACUUUACCACAGAUACAAGGGAUAACUAUUUUAAAAGGAGUAUUUACAUGAUGG
This 1771-nucleotide long non-coding RNA is filed under the name Mus musculus (house mouse). RNAcentral's name for it is "long non-coding RNA chr13:20387291-20389062". The record is from RNAcentral. Lineage: Eukaryota; Metazoa; Chordata; Mammalia; Rodentia; Muridae.